Molecule: ribosomal RNA, 301 nt
Filed under: uncultured bacterium
Lineage: Bacteria
Description: partial 16S ribosomal RNA
Rfam family: Bacterial small subunit ribosomal RNA
Source: RNAcentral
CAGUCGCCACGGUAAAACGGAGGGUGCAAGCGUUGUCCGGAUUUAUUGGGUUUAAAGGGUGCGUAGGCGGCCUAAUAAGUCAGUGGUGAAAGCCUCCAGCUUAACUGGAGAACUGCCAUUGAUACUGUUAGGCUUGAGUAUACUUGAGGUAGGCGGAAUUGACAGUGUAGCGGUGAAAUGCAUAGAUAUUGUCAAGAACACCAAUUGCGAAGGCAGCUUACUAAAUUAUAACUGACGCUGAGGCACGAAAGUGUGGGUAUCAAACAGGAUUAGAUACCCCUGUAGUCCCUGUCUCUUAUAA